GCCAAAUAAAAUCUUAAUUUUACAUAACAACCUGUUAGGCCAAACUUUAGUUUUCAGAUCUCAGAAGAUUUUUAUGCAAUGGAAAAAGGAGUGGAACACACAAACUGUUAAAGAGCAAAACUCUUCCCAUAGUCAAAGGAGUAGCUGUCAAAUUACAGUGCAUAAUUAAUAUGGAUUUCAUACCAAAACUAAAGAAAAUUAAUGUAUUUUCCUUAUCAUUUAAUGCCAUUCUGUACAGUACAAGUAGUUAAUUCAUUAGUGAUAACAAUGACGUCACAUAAAUUUGAGAUUGUCACUGAAAAUACGAUUUUGUCGCUGUUGCUGACAGUUUGUUGGAACCUUUUGGGACCACUGAAAAAUGACUAACUUCACCCACUCAUGUUAGGGACAACAGCUGCCGUGGGAAUUGUGCUGCACUGGGAGACGUACACCUGCCUCAACUUCAGUCAGUUAGAAACCCAGACAACAAAGAAAGCAUAACUCAAAUGGUGGUAAUGAAGUUCCAUUGAUGUAAAUAACCUCAAGACGUGGACCAUCCUCUUCUUUAAGGUGGUUAUGGCAGUGGGACUUGGAAAAAACUGUUCCCUUGUUGCUGUAAUGAUACAGCUGUUGUCACUGAUUUCUCAAUAGUGCAUUAGUUUGGAACUUCUGAACAUAUUUAGCAAUCACUGUGUUGAUCGCUAACUGAAGCUAUCCAAAACUAGACCAGGGUUGGCUGCAUUGCAUAUUGAACAAACACUUGAGAAUUGUCCUUUGACUACUGCUGUGAUGUUUUGUACACACAUUAGGUGUAGCUACUGUAAAGUCACUGGAAGCAGUUAAAUAAAAUCUGGAAUUUCUUUUCAUGUUUUCAGUGUCCCUUUUUUUGUCGCUUCCAUUAAGUCAGCAAAUCCUCUACUAGCAAUCCAGGAAACUCAGUAGUUGGGAGUUUUUCCUCAAGGUUUCACAAACGCAAACAUUUUUAUUUAAACAAAUCCAUGUGCAACCAAUGGAAAAUGAGUGUAUGCCUUUAUUGCGAUGCAAAGUAUAUACUGUCACCUCACUCACAAAGAUGGGUAUGAUUGUAAAGUGGACUAAUUCUAAGAUAAAAUCAGUUUAAUAACACAAGAAAAUAAACACCACUUCUGAGAAUUUUCCUAACCAAAAGGUAAGUAUUGGCCAUUUUCUACAGUGAUGCGACAGCUAUAAAAUCUGAACUAAUUACUUGUGGUACACAGAAAUUUCUGUAGGAAAGCCAUUUUCUUGUGACAAGAGAGAAUUUGUGACCAGAUCCUCUUUUUUUGUUUGUGAUUGCGAAUUCUUUUGACUUGAGGUUAAUACAUACUGUUUUAGCUGAGUAAAGCUGUAUAGAUAUGACUUGGUUAGUAGAUAACCAUGGCUGCCAAUAUAUAUUAUGAAACACUUAUAGGCAAGUUGAAUAUAUUUUAAAAAAAUCUAGAGGGGGGG
Molecule: long non-coding RNA, 1446 nt
Organism: Cygnus olor (mute swan)
Lineage: Eukaryota; Metazoa; Chordata; Aves; Anseriformes; Anatidae
Exons: 2
Source: RefSeq, a predicted model, not a curated record